GAUGAACGCUGGCGGCGUGCCUAAUACAUGCAAGUCGAGCGAACAGACGAGGAGCUUGCUCCUCUGACGUUAGCGGCUGACGGGUGAGUAACACGUGGAUAACCUACCUAUAAGACUUGGAGAACUUCGGGAAACCGGAUCUAAUACUGGAUAAUAUAUUGAACCGGAUGGUUCAAUAGUGAAAGACGGUUUUGCUGUCACUUUGAGAUGGAUCCGUGCCGCAUUGUCUAGGUGGUAAGGUAACGGCCUACCAAGGCAACGAUGCGUAGCCGACCUGAGAGGGUGAUCAGCCACACUGGAACUGAGACACGGUCCAGACUCCUACGGGAGGCAGCAGUGGGGAAUAUUGGGCAAUGGGCGAAAGCCUGACCCAGCCACGCCGCGUGGGUGAAGAAGGCCUUCGGGUUGUAAAACUCUGUUAUUAGGGAAGAACAACUGUGUAAGUAAAUCCGCACGUCUUGACGGUACCUAAUCAGAAAGCCACGGCUAACUACGUG
Molecule: ribosomal RNA, 497 nt
Filed under: uncultured bacterium
Lineage: Bacteria
Description: partial 16S ribosomal RNA
Rfam family: Bacterial small subunit ribosomal RNA
Source: RNAcentral